RNAcentral lists this unclassified non-coding RNA (329 nucleotides) under soil metagenome. RNAcentral describes it as "partial contains 5.8S ribosomal RNA, internal transcribed spacer 2, and large subunit ribosomal RNA". The stretch from base 1 to 119 matches the Rfam family "5.8S ribosomal RNA", at positions 35 to 154 of the family's 154-position model. The record is from RNAcentral.
GAUGAAGAACGUAGCGAAAUGCGAUAAGUAAUGUGAAUUGCAGAUUUCAGUGAAUCAUCGAAUCUUUGAACGCACAUUGCGCCCCCUGGUAUUCCGGGGGCAUGCCUGUUCGAGCGUCAUUUCACCACUCAAGCCUCGCUUGGUAUUGGGCAACGCGGUCCGCCGCGUGCCUCAAAUCGACCGGCUGGGUCUUCUGUCCCCUAAGCGUUGUGGAAACUUUCGCUAAAGGGUGUUCGGGAGGCUACGCCGUAAAACAACCCCAUUUCUAAGGUUGACCUCGGAUCAGGUAGGGAUACCCGCUGAACUUAAGCAUAUCAAUAAGCGGAGGA